This 71-nucleotide transfer RNA is filed under the name Dipodomys ordii (Ord's kangaroo rat). It matches the Rfam family "tRNA". From Rfam's summary of the family: Transfer RNA (tRNA) molecules are approximately 80 nucleotides in length. Their secondary structure includes four short double-helical elements and three loops (D, anti-codon, and T loops). Lineage: Eukaryota; Metazoa; Chordata; Mammalia; Rodentia; Heteromyidae. The record is from Rfam by way of RNAcentral.
GUGGCAUGGCUCAAGUGGUAGAGCCCUUGCCUAACAAGCAUGAAGACCUGAGUUCAAACCCCAGGACCACA